UUUGGUAUUAGUGAAGCACUCUUUGUGUACAAAGAUAUUCUUUAUUACCUUAGAAUGAAGAAGGCAUGGCUCCUGUGGUUUGAUUAUUGUUAAGCACAAAGUAUGGAGUAUCAUCUUGCAUGUAUUCUUAGCCAUUUUGUUUAGAAUUUGACCAAUUUUUGCCUUGCUUCUAUAAUUUUAAAAUAAGUUAAAAUUCUCUUUCAGCAUUCAAAGAAAUCUGAGAACAGCAACAACACUUCUUAAGCUUCAUUUCAAAAACAAAGAAAUCAAGAUCAAGGGAUGAUAUCUUUAAACUCCUGACAAUGGCGUUGUACGUUUGAACACUUUGAACGUCACCACCUAAAUGUGCUAAAAGUUCUGCACCACCUCCAUCUGACAGUUUUUCAAAGGAUAUUCCAACACAUGGAUCACCUUACCCGAAAAAACAUCCCUUACAAAUACCAGAACUUAAAAGAUCAUUAUGAUGGAUGUAAAGGAAACACCAUUUGCGAACAAUAGAAGAGAAGCCUCUUCAAAAUUUCAAAGUAGUGCUGUAGGCAUUCAAAAGCAUAUUGAAAUUUCUCAUAUUUUGUUUUAUGUUUUUUUCUUUCAUAAAUAUAUUGCUUAUACCUGAAAUGAAAGAUAGAUGGGUCAGGACCAAUAAUCAAAAAACAAUAUCAAGUGUGAGCAAUUUGGAGACUUUUUCAAUUUACAGUAUCCCAAUGCUAGGAUGUGUACUGAACCACACUGCCAUCUUUUAUUGAUGUGAUGAGUAGCAUUUCUGCAUUAAGGACCAGUGGGGACAGUUCCUGAGCAAUAUGCUUCCCUCUGUAAUUUAAUGUAUUAUUAAAAUGUUUAUAACAAUCUUCA
This is a long non-coding RNA of Erpetoichthys calabaricus (reedfish), 849 nucleotides long. RefSeq lists it as uncharacterized. Lineage: Eukaryota; Metazoa; Chordata; Cladistia; Polypteriformes; Polypteridae. The transcript has 2 exons. The record is from RefSeq and is a predicted model, not a curated record.